MicroRNA precursor from Cavia porcellus (domestic guinea pig), 80 nucleotides. It matches the Rfam family "mir-598 microRNA precursor family". NCBI's taxonomy places the organism in Eukaryota, Metazoa, Chordata, Mammalia, Rodentia, Caviidae. The record is from Rfam.
GCUGAUGCUGGCGGUGACGCCGAUGGUGCGAGCUGGACAUGGGGUGCUACGUCAUCGUUGUCAUCGUCAUCAUCAUCAUC